CCUACGGGUGGCAGCAGUCGAGAAUUAUUCACAAUGGGGGAAACCCUGAUGGUGCGACGCCGCGUGGGGGAAUGAAGGUCUUCGGAUUGUAAACCCCUGUCAUGUGGGAGCAAAUUAAAAAGAUAGUACCACAAGAGGAAGAGACGGCUAACUCUGUGCCAGCAGCCGCGGUAAUACAGAGGUCUCAAGCGUUGUUCGGAAUCACUGGGCGUAAAGCGUGCGUAGGCUGUUUCGUAAGUCGUGUGUGAAAGGCGCGGGCUCAACCCGCGGACGGCACAUGAUACUGCGAGACUAGAGUAAGGGAGGGGGAACCGGAAUGCUUGGUGUAGCAGUGAAAUGCGUAGAUAUCGAGAGGAACACUCGUGGCGAAGGCGGGUUCCUGGACAUUAACUGACGCUGAGGCACGAAGGCCAGGGGAGCGAAAGGGAUUAGAUACCCCUGUAGUC
Molecule: ribosomal RNA, 446 nt
Filed under: uncultured bacterium
Lineage: Bacteria
Description: partial 16S ribosomal RNA
Rfam family: Bacterial small subunit ribosomal RNA
Source: RNAcentral